RNAcentral lists this transfer RNA (68 nucleotides) under Megalyra sp. MM-2014. RNAcentral describes it as "tRNA-Leu". Lineage: Eukaryota; Metazoa; Arthropoda; Insecta; Hymenoptera; Megalyridae. The record is from RNAcentral.
UCUAAUAUGGCAGAUUUAAGUGUAAUGGAUUUAAAUUCCAUUUAUAAUAUUAUAUAUAUUUAUUAGAU